UUUUAGCCUUCUUUUUGGAGGCAGUACACAGUUUCGGCUGUUUAGUUUCGAAUUGGCCAGGGUGGAAUUUACAAAUAAGAGACAGUUUUGAAAUUGAAGUGGAUAUUUGAGGUGUGUGAUUACAGACUUGUGUGUGAGGUUUUGAUUGUGGCGCAGUCAGUUGUUUGCCGAGAAGCCUUGAAAACUGUGUAUUGCCCCCUUAAGAGCAAAAUUUGAUUUUUUGUGUGUGAUUACAGACUUGUGUGUGAGGUUUUGAUUGUGGCGCAGUCAGUUGUUUGCCGAGAAGCCUUGAAAACUGUGUAUUGCCCCCUUUGCCCCAACAAUUUU
This is a long non-coding RNA of Ruditapes philippinarum (Manila clam), 327 nucleotides long. RefSeq lists it as uncharacterized. The record is from RefSeq and is a predicted model, not a curated record. Lineage: Eukaryota; Metazoa; Mollusca; Bivalvia; Venerida; Veneridae. The transcript is spliced from 3 exons.